Non-coding RNA from Pantherophis guttatus, 673 nucleotides. The record is from RefSeq and is a predicted model, not a curated record. NCBI's taxonomy places the organism in Eukaryota, Metazoa, Chordata, Lepidosauria, Squamata, Colubridae.
AGGCGGAGGAAUCCCCCCCUUCCAUCUUGGCUCCUGUGUAAGGGGAGGGGCAUCCACAGGAUCACAUGAGAAGCCACCAUGCACUCCGCACCCCCCUCCGGAGCCCUGCCAUCCAUGGUGUGCUUUGGGGCUGCCUUUGCCUUCACAGAGGGUGAAGCGGGCUGGAACUCUGCCAGAGGAGGAGGCUUGGGAAGAGACCAUCUGGCACAGCAGCAGGCAUGGCACCUCUAGCUGCUCUCAAAGCUGCAGGGGCUAGUGAAGGAGCUGCCCAGGAACUUGAAAUUCAAUUCAUAUGCAAGUGCACAUUAUAGAAGCUGACAUCCAGUAUGGCAGAUCAAGAAGCCUAGCUUGAACUACUACCUGGGAGGAGCCCAAAUCAGAACUAUAAUGCAAAGACUUGAUUUCCCACCACCACAAGUAUAAUCUUCAUUAAAACGGGAGUGGAAGCAGCCAUAUGAUCCAAAAGGAGAUGGCAGUGAUAUGAGACGAAAGCCCCUUUUGUGCUAUGAUCCUGAUCUGGCUUCCAUCCUGCAACCACUAUUUAAACUGGAAAACAAACCCAGCUACAGUGAAUUGUAUUUUUAUAUUUUAUACAGUGGUUAGCUUGCUCUCCAACUUUGUCUGAAUUCAACUCCAUGAACUCAAAAUUAAAGUACUUUGAGAAUUUCUGAGA